This 301-nucleotide ribosomal RNA is filed under the name uncultured bacterium. RNAcentral's name for it is "partial 16S ribosomal RNA". It matches the Rfam family "Bacterial small subunit ribosomal RNA", at positions 509 to 807 of the family's 1533-position model. The record is from RNAcentral.
CAGUAGCCGCGGGAAUACGAAGGGGGCUAGCGUUACUCGGAAUUACUGGGCGUAAAGGGCGCGUAGGCGGCACGAUUAGUCAGGCGUGAAAUUCCUGGGCUCAACCUGGGGACUGCGCUUGAUACGGUCGAGCUAGAGGAUGGAAGAGGGUUGUGGAAUUCCCAGUGUAGAGGUGAAAUUCGUAGAUAUUGGGAAGAACACCGGUGGCGAAGGCGGCAACCUGGUCCAUUACUGACGCUGAGGCGCGACAGCGUGGGGAGCAAACAGGAUUAGAUACCCGCAUAGUCCCUGUCUCUUAUAC